This 516-nucleotide long non-coding RNA is filed under the name Physcomitrium patens. RNAcentral's name for it is "long non-coding RNA (PPAT_LNC000181)". The record is from RNAcentral. Lineage: Eukaryota; Viridiplantae; Streptophyta; Bryopsida; Funariales; Funariaceae.
GCUCGAUUGGUGAGUUGUGAGCGCUUUUAUUAGGGAGGUGCGCGGAUUGUGGGUUUGUAUCGUUUUGCAGCAAGUUUAUUCCCCGAAACGUUCGCCUUCCUCUUCCCUUUCCUCGAAGCGGUUGUGAAAUGCUCGAUGACUUACGAGGAAAAUGUGGUUGUUUCCAAAAAAGCUUGACAAGCCCAGGAAUUGAACUUCGGAAGCAGCGAGACAACUCCUGAUCAAAUAAUAAUAGAAUAUCAUUGACACCUGUGGUAGAUUGAAAGCAUACAGCAGUUAAUUGUCACUUACCCAACUGCUGCAAAGAGCUUCGUAAUUUCCACAAUGUCUUCUUUUGUAUCAAUCGAAUAUUCCUCAAAGCAAAUUUCGUGGUGAACGUCAAAUCACAGACACGUCUUCAUUCCCUGACCUAAUUGACUUUAUCUCCAUUGAUGCUUCACAUGAUUCUCACUAUGGACGUUAUUUUGGUUCUAGUUCGGGAAUUGUGGCUCAAACCCGCCCUCGGAUAAAAGUAGA